Molecule: long non-coding RNA, 1545 nt
Filed under: Nicotiana tabacum (common tobacco)
Lineage: Eukaryota; Viridiplantae; Streptophyta; Magnoliopsida; Solanales; Solanaceae
Description: long non-coding RNA (NTAB_LNC002915)
Source: RNAcentral
CCAACGUAAAGUAUCUUUAUUAUUAAAUCAUCAUAUAAACGUGACAUACGUGCCUAAUAGGCCAACGUGAUCAUUUAUAAAUUCAAAACAUAGGCCGACAAGGACGUACAAUCUUUUACGUACACGACAUAUAUCUACAAGCCUCUAAGAGUACAUAAAUGUCAUAAAGGUUGGGACAGAGUCCCGCCAUACUAAACAAUACACGUCUAAAUCAUACUAACAAAACACGCAACUUCGAAGCAAAUGGAGCGCACCAACAUCUUCCGCUGAGCUGAUAGCCUACUUGGAGGGCUCUCGACCUGUCUGUCUGGACCUGCAGGCAUGAAACGCAGCGUCCCCAGGCAAAAAGGAUGUCAGUACAAAAUAAUGUACCGAGUAUGUAAGGCAGUAUACUGAAAGUUGAAACUGAAUUGAUAAUAUAAUAAUUGCAAGUAGCUGGAAGUCAAAGAUGAUCUGAAGAUAUGCUUACCUGCUAACACUGACUCAACUCUCUCAAAAUAAUAAGUAAAAUAGCUAUCCGGCCCUAUAAGGCUCGAUAUUUAUAUAUAUGUAACUGCUCUGCCAUAGUAAGCUCGCUCAUAAGCGCUCGGCCAUACUUGGCUCUGUAUCUCGGCCAACUAGGCUCGCUCAUAAGUGCUUGGCCACAGUAGGCUCGGUAUAUAUGUAUAUAUAACUGCUCUGCCGUAGUAGGCUCGCUCAUAAGCGCUCGGCGGUACUAGGCUUUGUAUCUCGACCAACUGGGCUCGCUCAUACGCGCUCAGACACAAUAGGAUCAUCAUAUAACUUACCAUCUGAUCAGAGGUUGCCCAAUAAGGGCCUGCCCAUAAAUUAUAGCUCGAUGGUAAUGAAAAUACUUUUAAUACUGUAUAUAUGUAACUUCUCUUCUCUCUUGACUGGAAGAAGGAAAUACUCAACUGAAUAUGAAGUCCCGAUAAGGAGAAUAUUAUAACUUACAACACUAGAAAAAUAUACGCAAUUUGCGAAACUAGCAAAAUAUACGUAAAUUCCGGGAUAUGAAUGUAAUGACGAGAUCAUGCCAAAUGAAAGAAUAGCUUAGCCUUAACAUACCUGGAGUAGGGAAAAAUUCGUAUGAUAUUCUUGAGAAAGAUUGUACCGUGCUCUCUUAAAAUCACAAAAUCCUGCUAUGAUUACACAAUAUAAUUUCGUAGGGGUUCCUUUACUAACCAAGAACUCACGUUGCUAUUUUAAUAUGAAGCCUUUUAUGAAAUUCCAGAUGUUCUUGUCCAAACUUCCUUUGCUAACACUAGAUAACUUAAGCCGGUUGAAUUCUUGUCCGCCAAAAAUCACACCAUAUAUCUAUUUCUGGUUGUAUGUUAUUAUUUGCAUCAAGUAAUUUCUUCAGACACUUAAGUAAUCCAUAUAUGCUAUAUAUGACACCUUUAUAUGAACAUAACAGAGAGGGUAACGAAAGAGCCCAAGAAAAUCAAUUUCCAAAUUCAUUUUGAACCUUGAAGGCUCAAUUAGUGUUGUGUGGGGCUAACUAUAGCCAUCCAAAAAUAUUUCCUAAGACAGUAAGUUAUCGAC